GGUGAAGCGGCAAAUAGCGAGGCCCACGCGAACGAGUUGUGGUGUGGGCGUUGUCGUGUGUGCGGUGGCGUUGACGAUCCAAAGGCCUGACUCCACAGCGGUAAUGCGUCCCCUCUACUAUCAAGGAGACUCUACCUUGCACUACACCUUCACUGACAACGCCCACGAUCAACACCUCUGCCUCACCACUACCGCAACAUCAGAGGACUGUCUUGCAUCGCGCCCAGACACUACGUAGAUUUCACUAACCAGGAAUUGGCGAUCCAAGGCCUGAGUGUAGCGAUCAAGGGACUCCACCACCACUGCCGCCGUCCAGCGAGAUUCGGCUCCACAUCUCUCACAUUCUGCCAGUCAACACCUUCCGCCGCCGUCCCAACACCACCACCGCCACCAAGGAUUAUGCACGGCACCUUGACCCUGCGCGGCCAUCACCUACUGGGGGUGUCGGUGGCCAGGGUGGGGGAAGGAGUUGCGGGCAGCGUGACAGUCAGUCUUCCCUCAUUCACUGGGGGUGGUGUGGUGUGGUGCCAUUACUCCAUUGUAAUAAACUGUCUUCACUGCCUCAUUGUGGUGUUGUCCCUGUACUAAGAGCUGUUGUCAAUAAAUAAUAAAUUGUGUAGAAAUCUU
Molecule: long non-coding RNA, 627 nt
Filed under: Portunus trituberculatus (swimming crab)
Lineage: Eukaryota; Metazoa; Arthropoda; Malacostraca; Decapoda; Portunidae
Description: uncharacterized LOC123502293, transcript variant X1
Source: RNAcentral